CAGUAGCCGCGGUAAUACGAAGGGUGCAAGCGUUACUCGGAAUUACUGGGCGUAAAGCGUGCGUAGGUGGUGGUUUAAGUCCGUUGUGAAAGCCCUGGGCUCAACCUGGGAAUUGCAGUGGAUACUGGGUCACUAGAGUGUGGUAGAGGAUAGUGGAAUUUCCGGUGUAGCAGUGAAAUGCGUAGAGAUCGGAAGGAACAUCUGUGGCGAAGGCGACUAUCUGGGCCAACACUGACACUGAGGCACGAAAGCGUGGGGAGCAAACAGGAUUAGAUACCCGUGUAGUCCCUGUCUCUUAUCA
Molecule: ribosomal RNA, 301 nt
Filed under: uncultured bacterium
Lineage: Bacteria
Description: partial 16S ribosomal RNA
Rfam family: Bacterial small subunit ribosomal RNA
Source: RNAcentral